RNAcentral lists this unclassified non-coding RNA (250 nucleotides) under plant metagenome. Its description in RNAcentral is "partial contains small subunit ribosomal RNA, internal transcribed spacer 1, and 5.8S ribosomal RNA". The record is from RNAcentral.
GUAGGUGAACCUGCGGAAGGAUCAUUAUCACGUAUCCACGUAUAAACCAUCCGUGAACUGUCUCACCCUUUGAUUAUCUAAGUUAGUUUGUAAUAGGUAGCAUAUGAACUCGUUUCUUGUGAUUUGGAGAGUUCGCUAUUCUGUUGCCUCGGAAUUUAUUCCGUACUUGGAUUCUCUCAGGUGUAUUUUCUAAAUCACACUUGUAUUAACAACUUGAACAAUUUAUUUAAAUUAUUGAACUGAUCUGUUU